This 460-nucleotide ribosomal RNA is filed under the name uncultured bacterium. RNAcentral describes it as "partial 16S ribosomal RNA". It matches the Rfam family "Bacterial small subunit ribosomal RNA", at positions 338 to 795 of the family's 1533-position model. The record is from RNAcentral.
CCUACGGGCGGCAGCAGUGAGGAAUAUUGGUCAAUGGGCGCGAGCCUGAACCAGCCAAGUCGCGUGAGGGAGGACGGCCCUACGGGUUGUAAACCUCUUUUGCCGGGGAGCAAGGGGCGUCACGUGUGGCGCCACUGAGAGUACCCGGAGACAAAGCAUCGGCUAACUCCGUGCCAGCAGCCGCGGUAAUACGGAGGAUGCGAGCGUUAUUCGGGUUUAUUGGGUGUAAAGGGUGCGUAGGCGGAUCGUUAAGUGAGUGGUAAAAUUGAGGGGCUAAACCCCUUCCCGCCAUUGAAACUGGCGCUCUUGAGUGGAAGAGAGGUAUGCGGAAUGCGUGGUGUAGCGGUGAAAUGCAUAGAUAUCACGCAGAACCCCGAUUGCGAAGGCAGCAUGCCGGCUUCCGACUGACGCUGAAGCACGAAAGCGUGGGGAUCGAACAGGAUUAGAUACCCGUGUAGUC